Schistosoma haematobium is the source of this 76-nucleotide non-coding RNA. The record is from Rfam. NCBI's taxonomy places the organism in Eukaryota, Metazoa, Platyhelminthes, Trematoda, Strigeidida, Schistosomatidae.
AGUCUUCUGAAUCCAUGGAGAUUUUAUCAAAUACCAGCCCACCAGGACUAAUGGAACUCCAAAGAUAAGUGAAGUG